UCCGUAGACGGUAAAGUAAGUUCUUUGUUAAAUUCUAAGACCCAAUCUUAGUAGAGCAAUUAAUACUACUUUACUUUGAGUUUAGUACAGAAAAGUAGAAUUUUAUACGAUAGAGGUGAAAUUUGUAGAUAUAUAAAGGAAUGCUUAUAGCGAAGGCAGCUUUUUGGUAUAAACUGACGUUGAGGGACGAAAGCGUGGGUAGCAAACG
RNAcentral lists this ribosomal RNA (208 nucleotides) under uncultured bacterium. RNAcentral's name for it is "partial 16S ribosomal RNA". It matches the Rfam family "Bacterial small subunit ribosomal RNA", at positions 568 to 774 of the family's 1533-position model. The record is from RNAcentral.